GUGACAGAGGACGAGAGGUGAGGUAUAUAGACAGGUCACCAGUCAAUCACAGGACUCAUUCACAGCCUUAUCAAGCCUGAUCUAGUCGUAUCCUCCCUGUGAGGAGGAGUCAAUGCAAAACUCAGAUGUCUUCCACCUCUACUUAUCUGACUGCAGAGAGGAGGACAGAGGACAGUGGACACACAGUUUAACAUGAUGGACUAUAGGACAGGACUGCUGCUUUUAACCAUCUGCUGCUGGACAGGUGUUGAUGGUCAGACUCUGACAGAAUCUGAACCAGUGAUUAAAAGACCUGGAGAAUCCCACAGUCUGACCUGUGCAGCCUCUGGAUUUACAUUUAGUAGCUCUUGGAUGGCCUGGAUCAGACAGGCUCCUGGAAAAGGACUGGAGUGGAUCGCAAAUAUCGAAUAUGACAGUGAUCGCAUCUACUACUCUCAGUCAGUUCAGGGCCGGUUCACCGUCUCCAGAGACAACAACAGACAGCAGCUGUAUCUGCAGAUGAACAGUCUGAGGACUGAAGACUCUGCUGUUUAUUAUUGUGCUCGAGACCCACAGUGACUGGAGUUGGUUGAGCAGCUGUACAAAAUCCUACAGGAUUCAUUC
Molecule: non-coding RNA, 603 nt
Organism: Sebastes umbrosus (honeycomb rockfish)
Lineage: Eukaryota; Metazoa; Chordata; Actinopteri; Perciformes; Sebastidae
Source: the annotation of a RefSeq genome assembly